GUGGGGAAUAUUGGACAAUGGGCGAAAGCCUGAUCCAGCCAUGCCGCGUGUGUGAAGAAGGUCUUCGGAUUGUAAAGCACUUUAAGUUGGGAGGAAGGGUAGUAACCUAAUACGUUGCUACUUUGACGUUACCGACAGAAUAAGCACCGGCUAACUUCGUGCCAGCAGCCGCGGUAAUACGAAGGGUGCAAGCGUUAAUCGGAAUUACUGGGCGUAAAGCGCGCGUAGGUGGUUUUGUAAGUUGGAGGUGAAAUCCCCGGGCUCAACCUGGGAACUGCAUCCAAAACUGCAUGACUAGAGUACGGUAGAGGGUAGUGGAAUUUCCUGUGUAGCGGUGAAAUGCGUAGAUAUAGGAAGGAACACCAGUGGCGAAGGCGACUACCUGGACUGAUACUGACACUGAGGUGCGAAAGCGUGGGGAGCAAACAGGAUUAGAAACCCGUGUAGUCC
Molecule: ribosomal RNA, 450 nt
Filed under: uncultured bacterium
Lineage: Bacteria
Description: partial 16S ribosomal RNA
Rfam family: Bacterial small subunit ribosomal RNA
Source: RNAcentral